AUUGAACGCUGGCGGCAGGCCUAACACAUGCAAGUCGAACGAGUGGCGGACGGGUGAGUAAUGUCUGGGCAACUGCCCGAUGGAGGGGGAUAACUACUGGAAACGGUAGCUAAUACCGCAUACCAUCGGAUGUGCCCCGAUGGGAUUAGCUUGUAGGUGAGGUAACGGGUCACCUAGGCGACGAUCCCUAGCUGGUCUGAGAGGAUGACCAGCAACACUGGAACUGAGACAAGGUCCAGACGCCGACGGGAGGCAGCAGUGGGGAAUAUGGAACAAGGGGCGCAAGCCUGAUGCAGCCAUGCGGCGUGUAUGAAGAAGGCCUUCGGGUUGUAAAGGACGUUCAGAGGGGAGGCGUUACCCGCAGAAGAAGCACCGGCUAACUCCGGGCCAGCAGCCGCGGUAAUUC
This 406-nucleotide ribosomal RNA is filed under the name uncultured bacterium. Its description in RNAcentral is "partial 16S ribosomal RNA". It matches the Rfam family "Bacterial small subunit ribosomal RNA", at positions 29 to 526 of the family's 1533-position model. The record is from RNAcentral.